RNAcentral lists this ribosomal RNA (253 nucleotides) under uncultured bacterium. Its description in RNAcentral is "partial 16S ribosomal RNA". It matches the Rfam family "Bacterial small subunit ribosomal RNA", at positions 524 to 776 of the family's 1533-position model. The record is from RNAcentral.
UACAGAGGUCCCAAGCGUUGUUCGGAUUCACUGGGCGUAAAGGGUGCGUAGGCGGUCGGGUAAGUCUGAUGUGAAAUCUCACAGCUUAACUGUGAAACUGCAUUGGAUACUAUCCGGCUCGAGGAAUGGAGGGGAGACUGGACUACUUGGUGUAGCAGUGAAAUGCGUAGAUAUCAAGUGGAACACCAGUGGCGAAGGCGAGUCUCUGGACAUUUCCUGACGCUGAGGCACGAAAGCCAGGGGAGCAAACGGG